Molecule: non-coding RNA, 375 nt
Organism: Astyanax mexicanus (Mexican tetra)
Lineage: Eukaryota; Metazoa; Chordata; Actinopteri; Characiformes; Acestrorhamphidae
Source: the annotation of a RefSeq genome assembly
CAUCCCACAGCUCCAUCUCUCAUCAUGUUCUCUACAACUCUACUGCUCCUGCUAGCAGCUGCAACAUGUGUUCACAGUGAAGAACUGACUCAGCCUGGUUCCAUGAUGGUUCAACCAGGUCAGAGUCUGACCAUCAACUGUAAAGUUUCCUAUUCUAUUACAACUUAUACUACAUUUUGGAUCAAACAACCUGCAGGAAAAACUCUGGAGUGGAUUGGAUACAUCGGCUGGAGUGGGAGCACAGCUUACAGUGAUAAACUGAAAAACAAGUUCAGCUUCUCCAGAGACACUGGAACUAACACAAUAACAUUACAAGGACAGAAUCUGCAGACUGAAGAUACAGCUGUGUAUUACUGCGCAAAAGGCUCACAGUGA